ACUUCCAUGGAAAGAAAAAUAAAAAAAAUUAAUCUCAUACUACUAGAUAAGUCACUGUGUUUUACUCAUUACAUCAGAGGAACUGGCAAACUUUUUGAACUUAAAACAUACUAUAUAUCUUCUUAACAUGUUGUUAGUUGGAUGCAAUGUAGACAUAUGUACUUGUAAUUGUAAACAUAUUUUCUUGUUCAAAGUCAUGUGUGAUACAAGCAUCCAUCCUUGUAGCUUAGAUUUGUGUGAGCUGAUGUGGAUGGAUGUGUAUGUUUGUGUGAUCCAUGUUUCGCAUCAAAGCAACAAAAAAUUGUCAGUUUGAUCUCAACACCAUCUUCAAAUUUGUUUAUUUCUUCAUUCUGAGAUGUCAAACUCUGCCUCCUGGGUAAGAAUUAUGCAAGCCUAUCAAUAGUAGCAGAAUAUUUGUAGAUUUUCUGGCGCCCUUUUCGACUCUGAAUAAGGAAAACAAGAUUCAGGUAGACACCUGUGCAACCUAACGUUCUUCAAACUGGUGAAGCUUCAGGUUAGCAACUCAAAACAAACCAGGUGUUUGGAGAACCACUACUUUCAGAUAACGCUGAGCGAUACCCAUCCCUGUUGAAACUCUGUUUACCUCGGUUUACUUAUUAACAUCAAAACAUGAAUGAAUUGCCGCUUGCUUAUUAAUUUCAGAUUAGGCACCCUAGGCCACUUGCUGUAUUUUAAUCAUCUGAUUAGUGAGUGCGCUACAGAUAAUAAUUAUUUGAUUGUUUUUUUCAGCAAGUUGAGCCCAACUAAAGUUUUUAAAAAAUGCAACUAGCUGAAUGGAGUAACAUCAAAACCUGAAUGCAUUGCCACUUGCUUCUUAUUAACUACAGCUUAGGCCGGCAACUUAGGCUGCUUGUUCUAUUUUAAUCAUUUGAUUAGUGAGUGCGCUAUAGACAGCGAGUAGCUAUUAGUUUUUUCAGCAAGUUGAGCCCAGCUCAACUUAAAAAAAUGCGACUAGCUGGAUCAGAUCCAUUCAUGUCUUGUUGACUUUGGAGAGUAGUGCGGCCUCCAUUCUGCUUCUCCUGCAAUCUCCCAUCUCCUUCAUUGCAGCACCGGCUCCUGCAAUCCCAAGCCGCCUUCAUUGUCCUUCCUUCACCUCUUCAUGAGUGUUUUCCAUCUAUUGCUAUCAAAAACCUUUGAUUUCUAAUCCAAGGGGCAUCAACUAGAGCUCGUGCUCGUGCUCCAUGUUCAUCCAUUCCGUUUAGCGUUUACCCGUCCCUUCCGUCUCAUUUUCCCCUCCAGAUAAAGUUCUUCACUUCACCAACCACCAUCCAAAUAGAUGAUUCUGUGAAUACACACAGCUAAACCUGCCUUUGGAGUAAUUUUACCAUCUUUGCUCUGUUCCUAUUUUCAUUCCUAACAAAUCCCAAAUUUCCCACUGUGUCUUACUACGCCCAAGAAAAAAAAGAAAAGAAGAAAAGAUACAUCCUCCCCUUAUACCCACCGUGUGCUUUCCAUGGCAGAGGUGGCGCUGGUUGUGGCUGGCAUACGGGCUGGCUUACAAUUGGUGGUAUCACCAAUCUUAAAGAAGCUCCUAGCUGACCCUGCAAGGUGCCUUGGUGUGGACAUGGUGAGUGAGCUCUGUGAACUGGAGACCAACAUCAUGCCGCAGUUCGCUCUACUGGUUGAAGCAGCUAACAAGGGCCCACACAGGGCAAUGCUGGAAAAGUGGAUCCAGCAGCUCAAAGAUGCCUUCUAUAAAGCUGAGGACCUGCUAGAUGAGCAUGAGUACAACAUCCUCAAGCCCGAAGCUGAGAACGGGAAGGAUGAUUCGCUGGAGCAUGCAUCUUCCAGUGACGCUAUAAUGAAGCAUAUGCGUACUGUGUCGAGCAGGCUGUCCAAUAUGCGCCCAAAGAAUAAAAAGCUAUUCGACCAGCUGAAGGAACUGAAGGCCAUCCUGGCGAAAGUCAAGGACUUCCGCGACCUGCUUUGCUUACCUGCUGGUAAUGGUGUUGAGGCCUCCGCAGUACUGACAUCUGUUAUUCCAGUGGCCACAUCAAUAGGACUUCCGAGAGUGAUCGGUCGUGACAAGGAUCGUGAUGAUAUUAUAGAUCUUCUAACGAAGCCGAUUGCUGUUGAGUCUGCUACACGUAGGUAUUCUGGUCUAGCCAUUGUUGGACUUGGAAGCAUGGGAAAAUCCACCUUGGCGCAGCAUGUUUACAAUGACAAGAGGGUAGAAGACCAUUUUGAUGUCAGGAUGUGGGUCUGCAUCUCGCGCAGACUUGAUGUUCACCGCCACACGCGGGCGAUUAUUGAGGGCAUCUCCAGCCCAAAGGGAGAAUGCCCAUGUAUUGGUAACCUUGACACUCUACAGUGCAAAUUAAGGGACAUGCUGCAAAAGUCAAACAGAUACCUUCUUGUAUUGGACGAUGUCUGGUUUGAAGAAAACGCCAAUGAGAUGGAGUGGGAGAAAUUAUUGUCCCCUCUAAUUUCUCAGCAGACAUGAAGCAAAGUUUUAGUAACUUCUAGAUCAAAUAUACUCCCAGCUCCAUUUUUCUGUAAUGAAAUCAUUUGUUUGAAAGACAUGGAACCUACCGAUAUUUUAGCACUCUUCAAGUACCAUUCCUUUUCUGGAGCAGAAACGGCAGACCAGAGGUUACGUGAGCAGCUGGAAACUAUUGCAGAGAAGCUUGCUAAAAAAUUUGGAAGAUCUCCUCUGGCAGCAAAAACUGUGGGUUUACAGCUCGGCAGGAAAAAGGAUAAGGCUGAAUGGGAAAAUGCUCUAAGGAUUGACAACUUAAGUGAUCCCACUAAAGCACUUCUGUGGAGUUACCAGAAGUUAGAUCCAAGUCUGCAGAGGUGUUUUCUAUAUUGCAAUUUAUAUCCAAAAGGCUACAAUUAUAAAAUUAAGGAGUUGGUUCACCUGUGGAUGGCAGAGGGACUUAUUGAUUCGAGCAAUGUGGACAAGAGAACAGAAGAUAUGGGAAAGGAUUGCUUUAUUGAGAUGGCCAAUGUUUCAUUCUUUCAACGAGUUUAUAAUAUGUACACUGGUACGUCCUAUGUUAUGCAUGAUCUCAUUCAUGAUAUGGCACAGUCACUCUCCAAAGAAGAUUGCUAUAGACUGGAUGAUGAUAAGGUGACAGAAAUACCCUGCACUAUCCAGCAUUUAUCUAUUUGUGUUGAGAGUAUACAAAAGCACAAGCAAAGCAUUUGCAAGCUACAUCAUUUGCGCACUGUUAUCUGCAUUCAUCCGCUGAUAGAUGAAGUAAAUGAUGUUUUUAUUGGGCUAUUGGAGAAUUUGAAGAAGUUACGUGUACUGUCUUUGUCAUUUUACAAUAGUUGGAAGUUGCCAGAAUCAGUUGGUAAGCUGAAGCAUCUUCGCUAUUUGAACAUCAGCAACACAUGGAUUUCUGAAUUGCCAAGAUCAUUGUGUACUCUUUACCAUUUACAAUUCCUUCAUUUCAGUGACAAAGUUAAGAGUUUGCCGGACAAAAUAUGCAAUUUAAGUAAGUUGUGUUAUCUCGAAGGAAUCAGUCACAGAGGCAAGCAUGUGCAUGAUCUGCCUCAAAUCCCUUACAUAGGCAAGUUAACCUCGCUCCAAGGACUUCAUAAUUUUUCCGUGCAAAAGCAGAAGGGAUUUGAGUUGUGCCAGCUUAGGGACAUGAACGAGCUUGGUGGCUAUUUGAAUGUGACGAAUCUUGAAAACGUCACUGCAAAGGAGGCCUUGGAGUCAAAGCUUCAUCUGAAAAGUCAUCUUGAAAGCUUGCGCCUUGAAUGGAGUUCCAACAAUGACAUGACUACUAAUAGUUUACAUCUGGAGAUAUUGGAAGGUCUAAUGCCACCGACUCAACUUGGGAGUCUUACUAUUAAAGGCUACAGAUCUAUAAAAUAUCCAGGCUGGUUCCUUGAGGGUUCUUAUUUUCAGAAUUUAGAAUCUUUUGCACUUGUUAAUUGCAGUGCAUUACAAGGCCUGCCAUCUAAAGUAUUUGGGAAUUGCUCCUCACUUGUCCUCACGAAUAUCCCAAACCUGGUAACGUUACCAUCUCUUCCUGCAGGUCUUAAAGAUUUAAAGAUUGAGGAAUGUCCACUGCUUGUAUUUAUCUCCAGCGACGAGCUAGAACAACAAGACCAGAGGGAUAACACUUUGAUGACAGACUGGUUGGUAUCGCAGCUUUCUUCCAUGUGGGAGGUGGAUUCAGAAUCAGAAAUCAGGAAGAUACUAUCUGCUGAACAUUCAUCUGUGAAGCGGUUGGUGAUUUCGAUGGAUGCUGAUAUGUCUCAGCUUCAAAUAAUUGAAUGUGCUCUAGAAAGAGGAUUGGGAAAAGAGGAUACCAUCAAGACAUGGAUAUGGUGCCAUGAGGAGAGGAUAAGACUCAUUUGUACAAGGAACAUCGGCAUGCCACUGGUUCCACCAUCAAGGCUUUGUCGGCUUGACCUUUCUUCAUGCAUUAUUACAGAUGCAGCAUUAGCUAUUUGCCUUGAAUGUCUCACUUCACUGAGACAUUUGUCAUUAAAAGAGAUUAUGACUUUAACUACACUUCCAUCACCAGAUGUCCUCCAACAGUUGACAAAGCUUCAUUGCUUGCACAUCGACUCAUGCUGGUACCUUAGAGCAUUAGGGGGGUUACGAGCUGCUACCGCUCUUUCAGGAAUUUCAUUACGGAGCUGCCCUUCUUUAGACUUGACACGUGGGUCAGAGUUUUUGCCAUUGUCCCUUGAGAGUGUCUUCAUACAACAUUGUUUGGUUGCAGCUGAUCUCUUCAGUAGUGACUUGCCGCACCUGAAACAUCUUGGCAUGAUUUGGUGCAGAACUUCUUCAUCGUUGUCGAUUGGUCAUUUAACCUCCCUUAAAUCAUUAUCACUACACAAUCUGCAGCACUUGUGCUUUCUUGAAGGCUUGUCUUCGCCACUAUUGGAUGCACAUUUUACAAAUGUCCCGAACCUCAGUAUGAAUUGCAUAUCACAGCUGCGUGUUGAGAAUUCCCUCUAUGUUAGCAGCCCUGUAAUGCUCAACCACAUGCUCCUAUCUGAAGGUUUUACAGUUCCAGGAACUCUCGCUAUUUCAGAAUGCAAGGAGCGAUUCUUUUCGUUUGAAGAAUCAGCAGAUUUGUCAUCUGUCGACCGCUUGUUAUUUAUGAAUUGUGAAAUCAGUUCAUUGCCAGAUUUGAAGUGCUUUUCAUGUCUGACGAUGCUCCAAAUUAUUCGAUGCCCCAAUCUAUCAUUUUUACCAGAUUUGCCAUCCUCCCUCUACUGCAUAUGUGUGAGUGGUUCUGAACUCUUGAAGAAGAGUUGUCAAUCACCUCAUGGUGAAAGCUGGCCAAAAAUUGAGCAUAUCCGUUCAAAAUAUUUUAAUUAAUUUUCAUCCAGAUUUGGAACUAUAUAGGAAC
This is an RNA transcript of Triticum aestivum (bread wheat), 5345 nucleotides long. It is a transcript of the gene named disease resistance protein RGA2-like, with no coding region annotated. Lineage: Eukaryota; Viridiplantae; Streptophyta; Magnoliopsida; Poales; Poaceae. The transcript is spliced from 3 exons. The record is from RefSeq and is a predicted model, not a curated record.